AUGCUGUGGUGGCUCGGGGGCGUCGGCUGCUGGUGCUGCUCCCGGGCGCUCAGUUGGCCGCGGUCGGCUGAGUCGCGUAUGGAUCUGGCUACCAGGGGCGGCGGCCGGCGGGUCCGGGGGGGCUUCCCCUUGCUGAGAUCUGGCAAGUGGGAUCAUCCAGAUCCUGGCAAGGACGGCGGCGACCCGUGCACGAGAGAUAGAGGUCUUCGAUCAGAUCUGGGUGAAAACCUGCUAUUGGCUACUGCCAAGGCUGACGAUGGCGACGCUGAAGGCAUCGCCGUGAAGAAGUUCAAGGCCACUCUCUGCUACCUCCAGGGGAAACCCUAG
This 327-nucleotide ribosomal RNA is filed under the name Triticum aestivum (bread wheat). RNAcentral's name for it is "partial small subunit ribosomal RNA". Lineage: Eukaryota; Viridiplantae; Streptophyta; Magnoliopsida; Poales; Poaceae. The record is from RNAcentral.